AGAGUUUGAUCCUGGCUCAGAAUCAACGCUGGCGGCGUGCCUAACACAUGCAAGUCGAACGGGAAAGUGGAGCAAUCCAUGAGUAUAGUGGCGACCGGGUGAGUAACACGUGACUACCUGCCCUUGAGUGGGGGAUAACCUCGGGAAACCGAGGCUAAUACCGCAUAACAUCGCAAGAUCAAAGGAGCAAUCCGCUUUUGGAGGGGGUCGCGGCUGAUUAGCUAGUUGGUAAGGUAAUGGCUUACCAAGGCGAAGAUCGGUAUCCGGCCUGAGAGGGCGCACGGACACACUGGAACUGAAACACGGUCCAGACUCCUACGGGAGGCAGCAGUGGGGAAUUUUGCGCAAUGGGGGAAACCCUGACGCAGCAACGCCGCGUGGAGGAUGAAGCCCCUUGGGGCGUAAACUCCUUCGACCGG
RNAcentral lists this ribosomal RNA (419 nucleotides) under uncultured bacterium. RNAcentral describes it as "bacterial SSU rRNA". It matches the Rfam family "Bacterial small subunit ribosomal RNA", at positions 8 to 442 of the family's 1533-position model. The record is from RNAcentral.